Molecule: ribosomal RNA, 438 nt
Filed under: uncultured bacterium
Lineage: Bacteria
Description: bacterial SSU rRNA
Rfam family: Bacterial small subunit ribosomal RNA
Source: RNAcentral
CCUACGGGGGGCAGCAGUGGGGAAUAUUGGGCAAUGGGGGAAACCCUGACCCAGCAACGCCGCGUGAGGGAAGAAGGCUUUCGAGUUGUAAACCUCUGUCCUAUGGGAAGAAGAAAGUGACUGUACCAUAGGAGGAAGCUCCGGCUAACUACGUGCCAGCAGCCGCGGUAAUACGUAGGGAGCAAGCGUUGUCCGGAAUUACUGGGCGUAAAGGGUGCGUAGGCGGCGCAGUUAGUCAGAAGUGAAAUAUCGGGGCUUAACCCCGGGGCUGCUUCUGAUACUGCUGUGCUCGAGUGCAGGAGAGGUAAGUGGAAUUCCUAGUGUAGCGGUGAAAUGCGUAGAUAUUAGGAGGAACACCAGUGGCGAAGGCGACUUACUGGACUGUAACUGACGCUGAGGCACGAAAGCGUGGGUAGCAAACAGGAUUAGAUACCCUAG